Molecule: ribosomal RNA, 380 nt
Filed under: uncultured bacterium
Lineage: Bacteria
Description: bacterial SSU rRNA
Rfam family: Bacterial small subunit ribosomal RNA
Source: RNAcentral
ACUCCUACGGGAGGCAGCAGUGGGGAAUAUUGCACAAUGGGCGCAAGCCUGAUGCAGCCAUGCCGCGUGUAUGAAGAAGGCCUUCGGGUUGUAAAGUACUUUCAGUCAGUGAGGGAAGGAGUGGGUAUGUUAAUAGCAUACUCAUUUGACGUUAGCUGCAGAAGAAGCACCGGCUAACUCCGUGCCAGCAGCCGCGGUAAUACGGAGGGUGCGAGCGUUAAUCGGAAUUACUGGGGCGUAAAGCGGACAUGCAGGUGGUUUGUUAAGUCAGAUGUGAAAGCCCGGGGCUCAACCUCGGAAUUGCAUUUGAAACUGGCAAACUAGAGUACUGUAGAGGGGGGUAGAAUUUCAGGUGUAGCGGUGAAAUGCGUAGAGAUCUG